This 265-nucleotide ribosomal RNA is filed under the name uncultured archaeon. RNAcentral's name for it is "partial 16S ribosomal RNA". It matches the Rfam family "Archaeal small subunit ribosomal RNA", at positions 718 to 982 of the family's 1478-position model. The record is from RNAcentral.
AGUCACUGACAUUAGACUACCCGGUAGUCCCAGCCGUAAACUAUGCGCGUUAGGUGUAUCGGUGACCACGAGUUACCGAGGUGCCGAAGGGAAACCGUGAAACGUGCCGCCUGGGAAGUACGGUCGCAAGGCUGAAACUUAAAGGAAUUGGCGGGGGAGCACCACAACAGGUGGAGCCUGCGGUUUAAUUGGACUCAACGCCGGGAAGCUCACCGGAUAGGACAGCAGAAUGAUUGCCGGGCUGAAGACCCUGCAUGACUAGCUG